This is a long non-coding RNA of Diabrotica virgifera virgifera (western corn rootworm), 3225 nucleotides long. RefSeq lists it as uncharacterized. The record is from RefSeq and is a predicted model, not a curated record. The transcript is spliced from 2 exons. NCBI's taxonomy places the organism in Eukaryota, Metazoa, Arthropoda, Insecta, Coleoptera, Chrysomelidae.
UUCUAUUUAUAUGAACAUAGUACAAUGUCUUCCUGGAGGGGUAAAAUUUUCCAUUACAAGGUUUUAAGAGAGGCCAUUAAUUUACUGUUCAAUUUGCGUUCAUUUUCAAAUUUGCCGCGCGAGUAUCUAUGUAGCGUCGCGUGGUCAUUGGUCAUCACAUUUCAUUUUCCUAAGAUAACCGAUAACCUAAAAAUUUAGUAAAAAUUUUGAUUGGAAAAAAAUGCAUCGAUAAGGCGGAUAAGGGGGUGUGGGAAAUGGAAAUUAGUGGCUUUUUUGCUGUACUGUCUGCUAGUUUUUGCUCUGGGCUCUGGCUUAAUCUCUUGUUUAAACAAUUUUAAUCAGCUGAAAGUGGCCUACAAAAAAAACCAAGAAGGAAAUGUAUAGCCUUGUGGCUAUGAAAGGCAAAAGAGAGAUAUAAAAAGUGUAUUAGCUAGUUGGAAGAAAGUCCACAUUGUCCAUGCAGAAUAAGUUAUUACUUUAUCAACAAAUAUCAAGAAGAUAGCAAGGUCACGAGCAACAACUUCAUAAGUUCAAGAAUAUCGAGGAAAUCCAGCUCCUCGAUACUAAUGGGCAAACUAGAAGAUUGAAGAGGACAAAGCAUUUUGAACUAGUUUGAGUGAUAGGUGAUAGUGAAAAACGGAGCAUAGUGCUUGUGUGCUGUGCCUGUGUAUGUUAGAAUAGUGCACGAUCUUGUUAGAUUAGAUAAGAGACGCUAUGGGGUAAGCUCUUCAUUUUAAGAAACAGUAAUAAUUUAGGUUGAAUUAAAAUUGCUCAUUGGUCAGUUAUGUCCAGAUUGUUUUUUUAUGUUUGGCAAAAAGGACUUAAGUCAGAAUUGCACAUUGAUAAUGUUUUGAUGAUUUCUGGACCAGAAAAAAACUGUUGUAGAUGUAAACUGUAUGUACAGUAGAAUCUACUACAGUACUGUAGAAAUCAUCAAAACAUUAUCGAUGUGCAAUUCUGACUUAAGCCCUUUUUCCCAAACAUCAGAGAAUUGUAAUGUACAAUAAUUCUCCUAUCUGCUUUUUCAUGAAUUUUGUAGGAGACGAAAAACCAUUUUUAGGAUCAUCUGCUUUCACAUGUAAAUUUUGACAUGUUUUGUAGUAAAUAGAUAGUUGAAUUUACUACAAAACAUGUCAAAAAAUAUAUGAAAACAGGAGGUGACUAUAAAAAAAGUUUUUAGUCUCUCUUACAAAACUCAUGAAAAAACAAAUCGGAGGUAUGUCACAUCAGUGACUAUAUCCAGGGAAUGUCUAAAAAAUAUACUUUGAUGUCCCAAGAACCAAAUAUAACCUACAGUCCAUCUAAUUUACUUACCGUUGCACGUCAUUAUCUACGCCAGAGAUCUAAGUUGACAUAGUUGCCAAAGUAUAAAAAGAUCCUGAAUCCAUUUUAAAUCAAAUAUAUCACAUAAUUAUUGUAAACGUGGAUUAUACAACAAAACAAAUUAAUAUUCAAUGUAAAUAAGUAAAAACUUAAGAAAUAGAGAACAAGAAUUAAGUUAUAAUCUUUUAAGAUUUGCAGUGCAAGAGUUUUUGCACUGCAUUGUUAAUAAUUAAAAAACGGCUCCGAACUCUUGGCAAAAAGCCGGUAGGUUUCUUUGUAUAAGUAUGUCUACAAUAACAACUAAUAUAUAUAUAUAUAUAUAUAUAUAUAUAUAUGUGUAUAUAUAUAAAAAAAAUUAUUAAAAAAAAUAUAAAAAUAAUUAUUUAUUAGUAGAAUUGUUUAUUAUAUUAGUAUUAGUUUUAGGAUAAGAUACGAAAAAAUGACUAAUAAAAUAAAAAAUAGUAAAAUUGGCGAAUGGAUUUAGUGUCCGCAGUCAUAUAAACCCAAACAAACAACAAAAAACAAUAACAACUAAAAAAGUUGUCAGAUACCUCGAUUAUUCCAAGUCGUUAUAAAAUUAGGUGAAAUUUAUAUUUUUAUAGUAGAGGGUCUUUUUAUAGUAAAGUAAAUAAUAAAAACAGUAAAUAUAAUAAAUAAAACAGAUACUUAUAGUAAAGAAUAUAAACAAAUAUGAAGUGUCAUCACCGUAACUGUCAAAUAAAUGUUACCAAUUUAUUCUAAAAUGUCACCUUCGUUCGAUUACAGUUACAGUGUGAUCCGAACAAAUCUGCUUCAUAAAAACGCUUUAUAAUACAUUUAUACAAAUUAAAUGAAACAUAUUAUUGUGUAUUUCUUUAGGUUAACAUUAAUAGAAAUCUUCAAAUAUUAUUUCUACGCGUAUAUAAUAAAAUAUGUCUAGUGGCUGUAAUUCCAGUGUACUCAGCAAAGUGAUUCUAAAAAAGAACACACCUACCGCCUAAAUAUUUCGUGUUGGUAUCAUGCGACCUCACAGGCUACGACGCAGAUGACGCGCAACAGUUAGUAAAUUAGACGAAGUAUGUAGAUAUAUACAGGUUGUAACAAAAAUACAGGUCAUAAAUUUAAUCACAUAUUCUGGGACCAAAAAUAGUUUGAUUGGACCUAACUUACCUUAGUACAAAUUUGCACACAAGAAAAGUUACAGCCCUUUGAAGUUAUAUAUAUAUAUAUAUAUAUAAUAGCACUAAGGGCCUUAGAGGCCCAUGGCUUGAAAAGUUUGUUUUUUUUUCUUCAUUUUCACGUUUCUUUAUGUACUGAGAUCUUCUCUGGCUUGAUAUGUGAUUUUUCUCCAUUCCUUCCUGUUAUUCAUUUUUCUUUUCUGACCCUGUAGCACCAUUCUUUCCAAAUCUUUUUCGACCUCUUGCUUCCAUCUAUUUUUCGGCCUUCCUCUUCUCUUUCUUGAAGCUGUAGUGUAGUUUAGUACCAUUUUUGGAGUCCUCGUGUUUGGCAUCCUUUCAAUGUGACCUCGCCAUCUAAGUCUCUGUACCUUUAUCACUCAUUUGAAGUUACAAGAUGAAGUGAUUUUUUCCAAUAUAUCGAAAACUAUUAGAUAUUUUUUAUUGAAAAUGGACAUGUGGCAUUAUUAUGGCAGCAGUAUCUUACGAAAAAACUAUAGUAAAAUUUGGACACCCCAUAAAAAUUUUAUGGGGGUUUUGUUCCUUUAAACCCCCCCAAACUUUUGUGCACGUUUCAAUUUAAUUAUUAUUGUAGUACCAUUUAAACACAACGUUUUAAAAACUUUUUUGCCUCUUAUUGCUUUUUUUGAAAAGUCAAUUUUUAUCGAAAUAUUUUGAAUAUUUGUCAAAUCCACCACAUAUUUGUAUAUGGUUAAGUACGAUUAUGGAGACAUGGUAAUAAUAUGCA